This is a long non-coding RNA of Tachyglossus aculeatus (Australian echidna), 407 nucleotides long. RefSeq lists it as uncharacterized. NCBI's taxonomy places the organism in Eukaryota, Metazoa, Chordata, Mammalia, Monotremata, Tachyglossidae. The record is from RefSeq and is a predicted model, not a curated record. The transcript is spliced from 2 exons.
CUGUCAGGUACCUGCAACUCGCCGAGAUGUCAGAACCUGGAGCCAGGACCGCAACUGGGAAACCCCGGUGCCCGGAUUUCUGAGCUGUCGGGAGACUGGUGCCCUCCGGGACUCCCUGCCGGACCAAGGAAUCGGACUCACCGCUCCUUAUUAGGGCCGAAGCCGCAGCCUGAGCCCGGAUUGGCUCUUGGGACCCACAAAGCCCCAGGCGACGACCCGGCAAACCUCCACUUCCCCGCCCACAGUGCACCAAUCACCCAUUGAUACGUCCUACAAAGCAACCUAUGAGAACGUGUUCCUCCAGCGAACCCUGACGCCUCCCCUGAACCUCACAAAAUCCUUAUAAACCCCAUGAGGGAAAUAAACGGGUCUUUGCUCCUAGGAGUUCAGACCCUUUGCAAAGCUGA